GUGAAUCAUCGAAUCUUUGAACGCAAAUUGCACUCUCUUCGGAGAGUAUGCCUGUUUGAGGGUCAGUAUUAAUAAAAAUCGGUGUGUUGUUUCUUUGUGACGCUCCGGAGUUUGGGUCAUCUUAAUAUCCUUUAGGUUUUAAGAGGCGUAAAAUUGACUUUUUUUGCGCAUUUUAGAGCAAAAUAAAUUUUUUUUUUUAUUCGUCUGUCUUAAUGCUCAAACUGCUAUCAGGUGCGACCAUAGCGUGUGGUUC
This 253-nucleotide unclassified non-coding RNA is filed under the name Rhizophagus sp. (in: glomeromycetes). RNAcentral's name for it is "partial contains 5.8S ribosomal RNA and internal transcribed spacer 2". The stretch from base 1 to 65 matches the Rfam family "5.8S ribosomal RNA", at positions 84 to 154 of the family's 154-position model. Lineage: Eukaryota; Fungi; Glomeromycota; Glomeromycetes; Glomerales; Glomeraceae. The record is from RNAcentral.